Molecule: ribosomal RNA, 99 nt
Filed under: Salmonella enterica subsp. enterica
Lineage: Bacteria; Pseudomonadati; Pseudomonadota; Gammaproteobacteria; Enterobacterales; Enterobacteriaceae
Description: partial 23S ribosomal RNA
Rfam family: Bacterial large subunit ribosomal RNA
Source: RNAcentral
CGCUGUGAAGAUGCAGUGUACCCGCGGCAAGACGGAAAGACCCCGUGAACCUUUACUAUAGCUUGACACUGAACAUUGAGCCUUGAUGUGUAGGAUAGG